This 3696-nucleotide long non-coding RNA is filed under the name Homo sapiens (human). RNAcentral's name for it is "HSALNT0404586". The record is from RNAcentral. Lineage: Eukaryota; Metazoa; Chordata; Mammalia; Primates; Hominidae.
AACUCACAGCCCCAAAGAGUUUGCAUCUGAGCUUCCUGUAGCAUCCUGGGGCACGGACAGGCGGAACCGGGCCAUCAGCCGUCCCUGCGCACAGAGGCGCACAGAUUGGAUCCGGCCUCGCAGUCCCAGGAGCCAAGAGGGGAGGCACGCGUGCCGGUUCUCGGAAAUUCAUUAUGGGAAUGUGCGCGUUGUGGAGAUGCUCAGACCGCGAACAGUACUGCGGGAACCCAAACGAUCAUUUUUAACCCCAGACGUCCCUGAACCAAAGCCAAAGUCUACAGGUCACUGGGGCAGAGGCCGCCCGAAACCAGCUGUCCCCUCCCGGCCUAGGCGCGCCAGGUCCCCGCCCAGCCGGGGCGAUCCUUUGGUCGGACAGUGAGGUUGGGAGCCCACCGCACCCAAGUGCCGCCGCAUCCACCCGGCGCAGGCGACCCCCGACGGGCAGCCGCUCACCUUCUCCUGGCCCCGGGCUUCAGGAAAACUGCCUGGAGGUGGCCGGGGUCUCCCUAGCGGAGGCUGGGCGGCGGGCUUCGCGCCUGCCUCAGUCUCCCAAUCCGUGGCCCGGGGGAUGGAGCCCGCUGCGCGCAGAGGCUGCGGCAGGUCCCAGCCAGGUGCCCUGGAACGUGGCUCCUCCUUCCCUGAGGCGCUCCCCUGGGCACGAGGAUGGGUCUCGAAGCAGGAGGAAGCCGCCUUCCCUCACCCGCUGUCCGGAGCUGCUCAGCCGGUGCGCGGAGCCUCCCCCGCCGCGGACACCACGAUCCGACCCCCACCCUGACCCCGACCCAGACCCCCACCGCCCGACCCCGGCCGUAUUCCGUUGCGUUUGCUCCCUGCCAGCUCCGGGGCCACCACUGAGCACGCGCUGGACAAGAGCGAUGCAUGUGAGGUGUGGCAAAUCUCACUGUUCAACUGGAGAAAUCAGAGACAGCUUCCUGGAGGCAGUGACACCUGGACAGGCUUCUCCACAGGAGGAAGCGAGUGAGAGAAGCCAACUGGGAUGGACCCAUCAUGUAGGGGGAACAGUGCGCGCAGAACCAACAACCACCCCCACCCUAGGCCCAGAGCUCACGGAGAGAGCUGGGCCUCUCGGGGUGACUACAUAGUUCCCUGCUGGAUCUUAGGUCUUGUCCUUGGGCAGCUCUGCUGAGACCUCUAUGCCUGUUCCAGGCUGCACCAAGGUUUUGUGACUAUUGACCCUUGACUUUGAGUUGGGAGUUGCUGUAUUUUUACUAAGGGAUGGAGAGACACAGCCCCCAACCCCCAGGGAGCUGGGCUGGCUCUCCUAUGGCUCAGCCCAUAGCUCCAGCCCCAGGGAUGUCCAGAGGAUCAGAAAACUCCCUCCCUCCUUUAAAGCAGCUACUGGCAGAGUCCGUGGAGCUCUUGGGGGCUGGGAGACAGGCAGGAAACCCACCUGGCAGGCAGGCAGGAGCCCAUGGGGGAGGGUUGAUCUUUGAUCUUCCUCUGAUGGCCCAACGGGAACUGUGAGCACCCAGCCGCUCACUGGGACAUCUCGGUGCAGGGAAAGGGCUGAAGCUGGCGCAGCCACGGCAGCAUCCCCUCUCGUGGCAGUGCUCCUGAAACAGAGACGUGGUCUGGGCAGCAUGCUGAAAGGCAUUUCUGAAUGAAGCCUCCUACUGACCUAGAGCCAGCACACACCACUCCAGGGGCAGAGAGGAGAGAGCAGGAGCAGGAGACAGUCCAGGGCAGAGGCAGGCUCUGAGUCCAUGGAGACCCUCCCUGGGGCACCCCCUGCAUCUGCAGGGGUCCAAGCCUAGCACUGGCUCUGCAAGGAUUCAGCCACUCAUACUGUGCCCCCCCAGCAUGGGGCAUCUGUGGGUCUCCCUGAAGGUGGGCACCUGGGCAGCCUUCCUGAGGGGUCAGAGCAUCCUUGCAGGCAUCAGUGAUUCCCUCUGUCCCUUUCACCACUGGCCAUGGCUGGAGCAGAGCAGCACCGCAUGGUUUGGCUCUGGACAGCUGUGAGGCCCCAUGAGGCCCAGCAUGUCUGCAGGGGCCUCUCCUAGCCCCCUCUCUGCAUUCUGAGGCUUCACUUGUUGAACAGAAAGAGGUAGCAGAAUCCCAAAUAAGAGUGCAACAUGUCACCUACCAGCUCCAGCGCCUGGGGGCCAAGUGUGGACUCAGAGCUUCUGUCCAGCAGAGGCCCCUGAUGUGCAGCUGCACCGAGACACCCAGGCAGGGCGUCACCUGCAAGGUCAGCUGCAAGGCUGGGACUGGGGUUUGUAAUCGCUGUUGUCUCUUGGCCUGCAGGAUCCUCACGCGUGCCGCUUCGGUCCUGAUGGGCAGGACGCAGGUCUCUCACUAGACCAGUGUUUCCCUCUGUGAGGCCUGGAGAGGAGCCUUCUGGCCACUCCUGGGUACAACACGAAGGGAGAAGCAGACCUGAGUUUUUUAUUUUUACUUAUUUUUUUUUUUUUGAGACAGAGUCUCGCUCCAUCGCCCAGGCUGGAGUGCAGUGGUGCGAUCUCGGCUCACUGCAAGCUCCGCCUCCCCGGUUCAUGCCAUUCUCCUGCCUCAGCCUCCUGAGUAGCUGGGACUACAGGCGCCCGCCACCACGCCCAGCUAAUUUUUUGUAUUUUUAGUAGAGACAGCGUUUCACCGUGUUAGCCAGGAUAGUCUUGAUCUCCUGACAUUGUGAUCUGCCCGCCUCGGCCUCCCAAAGUGCUGGGAUUACAGGUGUAAGCCACUGCACCCGGCCAGGCCUGAGCUUUUUAUAUACACCAACUGCCAAACAUUCCACGUGAAUUUCCUGAAACUUCUCUUUGGAAAGCUUCUGUUUGUAUGUAUAAGGCAAUGUGCAUGCCAGCAUGUCAGUUACAGCAGGAGAGAGGGAACAAGCCAUGUGGGAACUGAUGGAGCCAUGUCACAUCCAGUGUCCUCUGCAGCCGCUAUGGAGUGCCAGGAGGAAUGAGGGGCAAAUGGUAAGAUCUUUAUGACGUGAGAGAAGCCAGGUGCGGAGCAGGGAACAGUCAGGUUUAAUUGGUGUGAAGAACAGGAUCACUGAAAAAUAUUUUCUCAUAGAUAAAACUCUUUUUGUAUAAAAGUCUACAGAAUUGCGAUAGGAAACCCAUAAUCAUGGUUUCAAGUGGGCAGAGAACUAGGCUCUGGCGUCAGGGGAGGAAGGGGAACUGUUCACUGUCAACACCUUUUAGGACGUUUCCAUUGGGAUCGAAGGGUGGCUCACUCUGCCACUUUGACAUAAGAAUCACUUCUACCUAAGGCACUUGAAAAAUGGCACAGGCAAGAGCAUCAUCGGAUCUCUCCUUUUCUUCCUGAAGACAGGAGAUAAAAACGCUCAGGUGAAAGAUGCCUUCCCUGUACCGGGCGAAGAAAGAUUCCUCUACAGGGAAGCACGUCAUAGCCAACAGAAUUCUGUACAGACAUUAAAGUAAUUAAAGUAAUUCCUGUCGUUCUUAAGCCUCCCCACACGGUUUACUUUUCCACAACUGCCUCUUUGUUCAGCCUCCUGCAAAAGCACAUAGGUUUCGUCACUUCUUUGGGUCUUUGCUUCCUUAGGAGGGUCCUGUGUGACAUCAAAGUGACAUUAAAUUUGUAUACAUUUCUCCUGUUAAUCCAUCUGAUUUCAACUUAGUUCCCAGGCCCAGCCAGGAACCUAAGAGGAGGGAGGUGGAUAUUUGCCUCCCCUACAGUAUCGUGUACGUAUAUGACUUUUUAAAAAAG